AGAAUCAACGCUGGCGGCGUGCCUCAGACAUGCAAGUCGAACGCGAAAGUCCCCCUCGGGGGACAAGUAGAGUGGCGCACGGGUGAGUAACACGUAGGUAAUCUACCUUCGGAUGGGGAAUAACAACCGGAAACGGUUGCUAAUACCGCAUAAUGCAGCGGCACCUAAUGGUGACAGUUGUUAAAGCGGGGGAUCGAAAGACCUCGCGUCUGAAGAGGAGCCUGCGGCGGAUUAGCUAGUUGGUAGGGUAACGGCCUACCAAGGCGACGAUCCGUA
Molecule: ribosomal RNA, 276 nt
Filed under: uncultured soil bacterium
Lineage: Bacteria
Description: partial 16S ribosomal RNA
Rfam family: Bacterial small subunit ribosomal RNA
Source: RNAcentral